CCUCAGAAAGCCAAUCUCAGUUCGGAUUGUAGGCUGCAACUCGCCUACAUGAAGUUGGAAUCGCUAGUAAUCGCGAAUCAGAAUGUCGCGGUGAAUACGUUCCCGGGUCUUGUACACACCGCCCGUCACACCACGAGAGUUUACAACACCCGAAGUCAGUGGCCUAACCGCAAGGAGGGAGCUGCCUAAGGUGGGGUAGAUGAUUGGGGUGAAGUCGUAACAAGGUAUC
Molecule: ribosomal RNA, 229 nt
Filed under: uncultured bacterium
Lineage: Bacteria
Description: partial 16S ribosomal RNA
Rfam family: Bacterial small subunit ribosomal RNA
Source: RNAcentral